UACGUAGGUGGCAAGCGUUGUCCGGAAUUAUUGGGCGUAAAGCGCGCGCAGGCGGUCCCUUAAGUCUGAUGUGAAAUCUUGCGGCUUAACCGUGGAGGGUCAUUGGAAACUGGAGGACUUGAGUACAGAAGAGGAAAGUGGAAUUCCACGUGUAGCGGUGAAAUGCGUAGAUAUGUGGAGGAACACCAGUGGCGAAGGCGGCUCUCUGGUCUGUAACUGACGCUGAGGCGCGAAAGCGUGGGGAGCAAACAGG
Molecule: unclassified non-coding RNA, 253 nt
Filed under: uncultured Caryophanales bacterium
Lineage: Bacteria; Bacillati; Bacillota; Bacilli; Caryophanales
Description: uncultured Bacillales bacterium contains 16S-23S intergenic spacer region
Rfam family: Bacterial small subunit ribosomal RNA
Source: RNAcentral